GGGCCCUGGUGCUUACACCACUGACCCAAGACUGAGUUCGACUACUGUGCCAUCAAGCAGUGUGCUGGAGAGAAAGUGCCAAUCAUUGGGCCAACGACGGAUGUUGUCUUUAACGAAUGUGGAAAGCGGGAUGGACCGGAAAUG
This is a long non-coding RNA of Carassius auratus (goldfish), 144 nucleotides long. RefSeq lists it as uncharacterized. The record is from RefSeq and is a predicted model, not a curated record. The transcript has 3 exons. Lineage: Eukaryota; Metazoa; Chordata; Actinopteri; Cypriniformes; Cyprinidae.